GGGGGGGGGGGCCGCUUACAAGGAACAAAGACUAGAGUCUCAAUUGCGUUCUGUGAAGCGUUUGUGACAACAAAGUGUUCUUCCCUCGCCCCUCCCUCCUCGCCCCUCUUUGCCCCCUGGGGCCCCCCGGAAACCCCGCGCCCCGCGCUCCGGGCGGGUGUAGGUGGGGGCGGCCGAGCCAAGCCCACCCAUUCGCCCGCCAGGCCGGGAGCCCAGGCCCAGCUGUGGCUCUCUCAGCUCCGGAAAGUUUCCCCUCACUGUUUGCUUUGCUGCUGUUUAGUUUCUUAACCUUCAGAAAUUUAUACGCUAUAAACUUUUAUAGCGGUCAUAUUCUUUUAUUGCUGCGCACACGGCAUUGAAUUCCUCUCCCGGCUUCUCUCUGGCUCGCACUCUCCCGGUCCCCCUCUCUGAAUCUCUCUCUUUUAUUACAGCAGAUUUCCCCAUCUCCGGCUUCCGAGCCUCUGCAUCUUCGUCUUUGUUUGUCUUUAAAGAAGCCACCCGGGGCUGGGGACCCAGACGCCGCCGCCUGAGGCUUCCCGGGGCGCCCUCGCCCCCCUACCCGGCAGCACUCCGUUCAGUUCCUGCCUCUCUUUUUGCGUUUUCCUUUUGGCGGAAUCUGGCCUUCUCAGCUCCUUCUCAGCUCAGGCUGGCUCCUGGGAGCCCAGGAUGGGGAGGGAGCCGAGUCUACGCAAGCUCUAAAGGCAGAUUCACUUGAUAUACCGACUGGAACCCUCGGAGGAGGACGCGGGUUGGGGCCCCGGCGUACCAGGAGCUUCGCGUUCUCCUGCCUCCGGCUGUCUCUCCGAUUUUGCGUUCGCUGGAGAGGGGUAGGCCUGGCCUUUUCGCUUCCAGGCCGAUUUCACAAGGGCCAGGCUUUGUCCCCACCUCUAUCCCAACCUCAGGGUCUCCGCGGACUGCAGCGCCGUUGGGUGGGCCCGGUGGGAGGCUCCAGCAGGAGACCGGUGCCCAAGAGCCAGCCCGGCAGAAGCGGAAUCCCAGCGCCUGGAUGAGAACCGCCUGGCGGCCGACAACAGCGCUCCUCAUCUGAGGCUUUGGUGGUGGACCCGCAGUCUGAGAGGGACAAAAAGUCUCCCAGCCCUCCUGUUGGAAGGUUCUUCUCAGUUUAAGCAGAGGUCCUGGGUCCAGACCAGCUCUCAGCUCCUGCAGGAAGCCCACCCUACAAAGUCUAAGGAGAAAUCUCUUGG
This is a long non-coding RNA of Bos taurus (domestic cattle), 1205 nucleotides long. The record is from Ensembl. NCBI's taxonomy places the organism in Eukaryota, Metazoa, Chordata, Mammalia, Artiodactyla, Bovidae.